AUACUUACUGGGCAGAUAAGAUAUCAUCAUCACGAAGGUGGCUCUCCCAGGGCAAGGCUUAUCCAUUGCACUCCAGAUGUGCUGACCCCUGAGAUUUCCCCAAAUGCGGGAAACGGCUGCAUAAUUUGUGGUAGUGGGGUGCUGUAUUCACAUUCUCCCCUG
This is a small nuclear RNA of Jaculus jaculus (lesser Egyptian jerboa), 162 nucleotides long. RefSeq annotates it as U1 spliceosomal RNA. Lineage: Eukaryota; Metazoa; Chordata; Mammalia; Rodentia; Dipodidae. The record is from RefSeq and is a predicted model, not a curated record. The transcript has a single exon.